Molecule: ribosomal RNA, 746 nt
Filed under: Nodulisporium sp. HQD48
Lineage: Eukaryota; Fungi; Ascomycota; Sordariomycetes; Xylariales; Xylariaceae
Description: bacterial SSU rRNA
Rfam family: Eukaryotic small subunit ribosomal RNA (bases 1-507)
Source: RNAcentral
AUAGCGUCGUAUAGUGGGUAACUAAAACGGCCAGCAGCCGCGGUAAUUCCAGCUCCAAUAGCGUAUAUUAAAGUUGUUGCAGUUAAAAAGCUCGUAGUUGAACCUUGGGCCUGGCUGGCCGGUCCGCCUCACCGCGUGCACUGGUUCGGCCGGGCCUUUCCCUCUGGGGAACCCCAUGCCCUUCACUGGGUGUGGCGGGGAACCAGGACUUUUACUGUGAAAAAAUUAGAGUGUUCAAAGCAGGCCUAUGCUCGAAUACAUCAGCAUGGAAUAAUAGAAUAGGACGUGCGGUUCUAUUUUGUUGGUUUCUAGGACCGCCGUAAUGAUUAAUAGGGACAGUCGGGGGCAUCAGUAUUCAAUUGUCAGAGGUGAAAUUCUUGGAUUUAUUGAAGACUAACUACUGCGAAAGCAUUUGCCAAGGAUGUUUUCAUUAAUCAGGAACGAAAGUUAGGGGAUCGAAGACGAUUUAAUCACUGUAUUUGGUCGUCCAAAGUGCAAGCUAGUCCGCCGCGGGGCAACCCGCGGGGGGCGACACCGUCAAAUUGCGGGGACCUCCUUAGAGCCCUCACCACACCUCGCGGCUAGAAAUAGCGGCGAGUCGUAAUAGUGUGAGGGAUUGGACAAUCCGCAGCCAAGUCCGUACGGCGCCUCGGGGCGCCAGGAUGCAGUUCACAGACUAAAUGUCGGUGGGAGCGCUCCGCUGUAGCGCCCUUAAAAUAUAGUCGAGCCGCCGCUGAAAAGCCGCG